Molecule: ribosomal RNA, 233 nt
Filed under: uncultured bacterium
Lineage: Bacteria
Description: partial 16S ribosomal RNA
Rfam family: Bacterial small subunit ribosomal RNA
Source: RNAcentral
CGGGUAGCGGAACACGUACGCAACUUACCCUGAACUGGGGGAUAGCCCACCGAAAGGUGGAUUAAUACCUCGUAACAUCUUGUAGUGGCAUCACUGUAAGAUUAUAGCUCCGGCGGUUCAGGAUGGGCGUGCGGCCCAUUAGGUAGUUGGUAGAGGUAACGGCUCACCAAGCCUGCGAUGGGUAACUGGUGUGAGAGCACGACCAGUCACACGGGCACUGAGACACGGGCCCG